RNAcentral lists this long non-coding RNA (427 nucleotides) under Anser cygnoides (Swan goose). Its description in RNAcentral is "lncRNA (ENSACDG00005008191.1)". The record is from RNAcentral. Lineage: Eukaryota; Metazoa; Chordata; Aves; Anseriformes; Anatidae.
CCGAUGCCGUAGCCCUUGGUGUCCAGCAGCCCGCCAAUCUGGGUGAGGUUGCAGUUGUGCCGCCGGUGGUACUCGUUCAUGGUGGACUCCAGCAGGAAGGCGUACUUGGAGUUGAGCACGCGCGCGAUGCCCUCCUCCGUGCUCUUCACGAAGACGCUGGGCUGCUUCGACUGCAUGUAGUUCCACAUCCGCUGGUAGGUCUGGUACCGCGAGUUCUGGGCGGGGGGGAGAGGGACACGGUGGGGGGGGGCUGUUGGCCUUCGUUGGGUUGGAUUGGGUUGGGUUUGUGGAUCUGGGCUACAUUGAGUUGAGUUGACCCAUGUUGGGUUGGGUUGGGUUGGGUUGGACCAACCCAAGUUGGAAUGAGUUGAGUUGAACAAGAUUCGGUUGGGUUGGGUUGGGUUACAUUUGUAGAGCUUGGCCGCGU